This 1681-nucleotide long non-coding RNA is filed under the name Nicotiana tabacum (common tobacco). Its description in RNAcentral is "long non-coding RNA (NTAB_LNC002142)". The record is from RNAcentral. Lineage: Eukaryota; Viridiplantae; Streptophyta; Magnoliopsida; Solanales; Solanaceae.
AGGGUUUCGUAACAAUUUAUAUAUACAGUUCAGAUAAUAUCAAAGCGGUAAAAAGCAACAUUUAGCACAUUAAGCCCAAACAUAUGAAUAAACCAGAUAAUAAAUAAAGCCAAAUAUAACAAUUAUUCUAAGCUAAAAUUCUUGAAACCUGAACCAGAAAUUUUGGGUUCUUGUCCCCAGCAGAGUCGCCAGAGCUGUCACACCUCCUUUUUCUACCUACACCCCCGGAAGGGUAUAAAUUCAAGGGAGUUUUUCCAAUUAAAGGACAAUCAAAAUGGGAUCGUUUAUUAAAAAUCAGAGUCGCCACUUGGAAGACUUAUGGUGUCCCAAGUCACCGGUUGAAUCCCGAAUCGAGGAAAAUAUGACUCUGUAAUGCAGUCCGCGAACUAGAAAUCCAGGUAAGGAAUUCUGUUAACCCGGGAGAAAGUGUUAGGCAUUUCCGAGUUCCGUGGUUCUAGCACGGUCGCUUUGAUCAUACUUGACUUAUUAAAAUUGUUUAAUUACUGACUUUAGACCCUAUGUAUUUGUCUAUUAACCGCUUUUAAAUCAUGAAAAUUAUCUCGAAGUGGGUCACGCGUACGUGUACCCACGAUCUAUAACAUGAAAUUUCCUCCACCCUUUUAUUUGUUGGAGGGAUAGAGAGACAAAUUGAACUGCUAAUGUAAUACAAAGAAUUGCCAAAUGGUAAACAAAAUACGAAAGAUCAAAUUCAUCUCAUGUUAUAGCCAAUUAGUCUAUUCCAUUUGCAAACAAAGGCUUGUAAUUAACGUCAUUUUUGUUAUCCAGUAAACUAUUCGUUAGUAAAACAGAAAACUUUACCAUGACUAGUAGCAAAACACAUCUUAUACGUUGUAAAACUGUUGGAAAGUACAUAACCCAGAAUUAAUGAGAUUCUUCCUCAAAAUAUCACAAGCAACAAAAAUUCACAUAAAUCUUCACAUUGAACCAUAAUUAUAAGAAAUACAUGAAAUGAAACAAAGGGCGAAGAACAGGAACUUUCGAACCUCGACGAACUCAGAACGACAAAUGACGACCUCGAACGGAACAAGCAAUAAUGAACGAAGCUUCGAACAGGUUUAACAAACGAGCUCCUUGAGAGACUCAAAACUGCAUAACUUACGCAGUGAACUGAAAGAGAACGAAAAUGGCGAUGACUGUAGUGUCACAAAUGUUCGCCGGUUGCUGGAAUUUUCCGGCGGGUUAAAGGCUAGCAGCGGCGCAUCUGGAACUCGUUAAGCCGACGAGCUGGUGGAGCUUGUUUUUCCGGCGAGUUUCAGGCAGAGGUGGGGGUCGUUUGAUGAUUAACGUUGGGGUCGUUGGGGUGGAGCUUCUUUCAUGGCUGUUGUGGCUGAAACUCCAUUAAAGCUCUAUGUUAUUCUUUCAUUCCCUGUUUUGUUUGUCAAGUGAAAAGGAACUCACACACACAAGAUUGAACUCGAAAGAAGAUGAGGACGACAGGGAAGGGUCUGUUCGUUUUGGUCUUGAGAACGAGGAAGAAGCCCGGCGUCGAUGGGGAAGGUCGUUUGGUUCCCGGAGAAACAGAAUGGUGGGGAGGGAUUUGUUGAUGUUUGUGGUUGGUUCUUUGAGAGGAUGGGGCGUGAGGAAGGAGAUGGAAAUACAGGGGAUGGGGGUGCUUGAAGAAGACGACGCGGGGUGUGGGGGUCGUUUUUGUCUGCGCAGC